UACAAUUUAUCAACAAUACAAUUCAUAAAUUUUUAUUAAAAUCUACCAAAAAUUUAACUUAUGUAAACCAAACGGGGUCGUAGUUAUAAAUACGACUAUGUGCCCACGAGGCAUAUUUCAAUGGUGCAAAUAAUAAUGAUGAGAUAUACUCAACCUUACUUACCGCAGUAAUAUAAGGGUUCGAUUCCUGAAAUAUGGAUUGAGACUCUUUGUGAGCACUAGAGUACAGACAACUCUUGUUCUCUGACCUGUUGGAGCACAUCCCGUAAUUAACUUCUCUCACUAUACUCCAGGUGUGGGGCGGUGAGGAGCCUUAAGGUUGGGCUUAACUUUUUUUAUAAAUUCAACUAUGUCGUUCCGAGUGACACGUGGCACAUAAGUGUGUUUCCACUUGUAGUCCCUUUCCAGUCCCGACGAAAAUCGUGUACUACUCUCGCUCAAAUCACUCAUUUUUUUCUGAUGCAAAUAUUUGGAAAGAAAUUGUUAUUCUCGAUUCUGAAUUAGGUAUUGAAGGUGUAGAAAUGCAAGCUAAUCCAAUUACCAGGAUUUUCAGUGCAAUCGUCCUCUCUUUACCUACCCGGUAAGUCUUUUGCUCCAAACUUGUAUUACGAUUUUUUUCUUGGUUUUUUAAUGUGUUAUUUCAGAGCUUCAUAAGCUUUUAUAUACCUUGAAUGGAGAUGAAUACGCAUAUAUAUACGUAUAUGGUAUAUGUUUAUGUGUGUUGAACUAUUGAAGCAUUCAUUUGACGGUAUACUAUUUUUAUGCUGCAUUUCAUAAGUGCAUAUUAUUCGAGGACCCUGUUCACUUUGAUCAAUUAUUAUCGAUUUUCCUUUUUCUCUUGUUAACUUUUCUUAGGCAAAAGUCUAAUUAGUAAUAAUGGUGACUUCUCUUUGAAUUUUAAGUUUCUGCUUAUGUCUAGAAUCACCAAAGGCAUAUGAGGUAAGUAAAAGUAUUAAAUUGACCUUUCUAAGUGAGAUUUCAAAUAAAAAUGAAGCAUUUUAAACUGCCUUCAUCUUUUCGGUGUUGCAUGUGACUCUGCGAAUUUCUGGAGAAUUGAUCAUUGUGGCUUAUUUUUAAUGAAACCUAUGACAAGCGUAUUAACAAAAUAAGCCUACUGAUGAAAAGGAUAGAAACAGGGUUACCUUAUGUCAUGAAGAUCGUGUAAGUUAGGAUCAUAGUUAACAAUGUCCUGUUUCUGGCAAAUCAGUUUUUUUGACCUAUUGCUUCCUUGUUAACUGGGUUUUUGGUCUGUGGUGAGUGCAGCCAAUAUAUUUUUCUCAACUUAUGAUUGGCGUUCACUGCAUUAAUAUCAUGGAACACAUGUUGAAGUUUUGAGCUGGA
Molecule: long non-coding RNA, 1341 nt
Filed under: Olea europaea (common olive)
Lineage: Eukaryota; Viridiplantae; Streptophyta; Magnoliopsida; Lamiales; Oleaceae
Description: long non-coding RNA (OEUR_LNC002721)
Source: RNAcentral